GAUGAACGCUGGCGGCGUGCCUAAUACAUGCAAGUCGAGCGAACAGACGAGGAGCUUGCUCCUCUGACGUUAGCGGCGGACGGGUGAGUAACACGUGGAUAACCUACCUAUAAGACUGGGAUAACUUCGGGAAACCGGAGCUAAUACCGGAUAAUAUAUUGAACCGCAUGGUUCAAUAGUGAAAGACGGUUUUGCUGUCACUUAUAGAUGGAUCCGCGCCGCAUUAGCUAGUUGGUAAGGUAACGGCUUACCAAGGCAACGAUGCGUAGCCGACCUGAGAGGGUGAUCGGCCACACUGGAACUGAGACACGGUCCAGACUCCUACGGGAGGCAGCAGUAGGGAAUCUUCCGCAAUGGGCGAAAGCCUGACGGAGCAACGCCGCGUGAGUGAUGGAGGUCUUCGGAUCGUAAAACUCUGUUAUUAGGGAAGAACACAUGUGUAAGUAACUAUGCACGUCUUGACGGUACCUAAUCAGAAAGCCACGGCUAACUACGUG
RNAcentral lists this ribosomal RNA (497 nucleotides) under uncultured bacterium. RNAcentral's name for it is "partial 16S ribosomal RNA". It matches the Rfam family "Bacterial small subunit ribosomal RNA", at positions 28 to 507 of the family's 1533-position model. The record is from RNAcentral.